GAAUACCGAAGAAUGUUAUCACGGGAGACACACGGCGGGUGCUAACGUCCGUCGUGAAAAGGGAAACAACCCAGACCGUCAGCUAAGGUCCCAAAGUUAUGGUUAAGUGGGAAACGAUGUGGGAAGGCUUAGACAGCUAGGAGGUUGGCUUAGAAGCAGCCAUCCUUUAAAGAAAGCGUAACAGCUCACUGGUCUAAACAAGGGUUCCUGCGCCGAAAAUGUAACGGGGCUCAAGCCACGAGCCGAAGCUUUGGGUGUGAUCCGCAAGGAUUACGCGGUAGCGGAGCGUUCCGUAGGCCUGUGAAGGGAUACCUGUGAGGGGUCCUGGA
This 329-nucleotide ribosomal RNA is filed under the name Crypthecodinium cohnii. RNAcentral describes it as "partial Bacterial large subunit ribosomal RNA". It matches the Rfam family "Bacterial large subunit ribosomal RNA", at positions 958 to 1277 of the family's 2925-position model. Lineage: Eukaryota; Dinophyceae; Gonyaulacales; Crypthecodiniaceae. The record is from RNAcentral.